Molecule: non-coding RNA, 78 nt
Organism: Leptodontidium sp. 2 PMI_412
Lineage: Eukaryota; Fungi; Ascomycota; Leotiomycetes; Helotiales; Leptodontidiaceae
Source: the annotation of a GenBank genome assembly
GGCUAUAUAAUGUAGUGGUAGCAUAUCAAGGUUCCAUUAGCAACCUUAGUUGGAGUAGUUCGAUUCCAUUUAUAGUCG